This is a long non-coding RNA of Girardinichthys multiradiatus, 369 nucleotides long. RefSeq lists it as uncharacterized. Lineage: Eukaryota; Metazoa; Chordata; Actinopteri; Cyprinodontiformes; Goodeidae. The record is from RefSeq and is a predicted model, not a curated record. The transcript is spliced from 3 exons.
CCUACCAUCUGGUCCGAAUAAAUCACGGAGAUGAAUGGUAGACAGCUUUUAAGACCUUCCUUGGCCAUUUCGAGUACCUGGUGAUGCCAUUUGGACUCAGCAACGCUCCAGCAGUUUUACAAGCCUUGACUGUCCCAUGCAGAGUGAAACUACGAUGUUUGGGACCGUGAACUCCUAGCCAUUAAGCUGACUUUGGAGAAGUGGCGCCAAUGGCUGGAGGGGGGAGUUCACCCGGUGCUGGUAUGGACCGACCACAAAAACCUUGUCUUGCCAGUACUCACUAGAUGACUCAGCAGGCUUGCUCCAACCUCUCAGCAUCCCAAAAAGACCUUGGUCCCACAUCGCAUUGGAUUUUGUCACCGGCCUUCC